Molecule: long non-coding RNA, 1399 nt
Organism: Cyprinus carpio (common carp)
Lineage: Eukaryota; Metazoa; Chordata; Actinopteri; Cypriniformes; Cyprinidae
Source: Ensembl
GUUGGAACUAAUAUGGUGCACUACCUCAACAAUGAGACAAGCCAGGAUCCACAUGCCUUGGUGCUUGGAGACAAAGAAAAUUCCUCCCAAGUUUUCAUCAUUUUCAAUGGAGAGGCAGUUGAAAAGAAGACCUUACUUCAAGCAGUGGAUAUCGUUGUUGUAGCUGUUGUAGUGUUACAUGCCUGGUCUCUCGUCCUUGUUUCUGCCUGUUUCUUCGCUAUGCUGGAUCGCUUCACUCCUGGAACCCCAUCCACUCACCUCUCCACUGGAUCGCCCAUCUCAGUUCCUGCGUCACGCUCUCCUGCUGUCCAAUUCCACCUCUACUUCCUGGCCGCCCAUGACGUUAUCUCUCUCCAUGCAGUUGUCCUGUUGGUUAUCCUCUUAUCAUUUGUAUCACAAUUCAUUAAAUUAUAAUUACACUUGCAUUUGCUUCCUCGCCCAUUCCUUUUCAUUACAUGUUUGCAUUCAGUGGAUACUCUCCAAAAUGGCACUAGGGUGACACGGAGGAGACAAAUUGUUGAAUAAGUCAUUAUUUUUUUUCUUUUGCACACAAAAAGUAUUAUCGUAUAAUAUUACGGUUGAACCCCUGAUGUCACAUGGAUUAUUUUCCCGAUCUCCUUGCUAUGUUUCUGAACGUUGAUCUUAUAAGGACCCUUGCUGUCUAUGGGAGGGUCAGAGAGCUGUCAGAUUGCAUCAAAAAUAUCUGAAUUUGUGUUCUAAAGAUGAAUGGAGGUCUUACGGGUUUGGAACGACAUGAGAGUGAAUAAUUAAUGACAGAAUUUUCAUUUUUGGGCGAACAAUCCCUUUAAGGUGUUUAUAACAAUGCAUAUGGUGUACACUGUAGCCUUGAUGUUUAUUUCUUGAAGUAUAAAGGUAUGUCCUUGGUGUACACAUUUGUGUAGUUUUUGAAUUGGUAUACUGAAUGUGCACAUUUGUGGUUUGAAUUUGUAUACCGUAUGUGCACAAAUGUUUAGGUUGUAUAUGCCUGUACUGUAUGUGCACAUCUGUUUUAAAUGUGUAUUAUAUGUGCACCUGUGUAGGUUUUGAAUCGGUAAACCAUAUGUGCACAUUUGUUUUGAAUAUUUGUACUGUAUGUGCAUAUUUGUGUUUUGAAUUUAACGUGUAUUAGAAUUUAUGUAUAUUGUUUGUGUAUAUUUGUUUUGAAUUUAAUGUGUAUUUUGAAUAUUUGUACUUCAACAAUUAUUUGCCAUGUGUUCUACAUUUUCACUCGUGUAUUUUGAAUUCAAUAUAUGCAAAUAAGUGUGCAUAUUUAUAUUAAAUACUAGGCUCACCAAUAUUGAGUACAUUUGUCAUUUAAAACUUAAUACCUGUUUUUAAAACAGAUUUAUAGUUUUUCUACUUUAAUAAACAAUCUGUAUUUGAAAACUGUGUAUUUUAU